GUGCCAAUACUGCAAGUCGAACGUCUCUGGUAUUGAAUGGUGCUGCAUCAUGAUUUACAUUUGAGUGAGUGGCGAACUGGUGAGUAACACGUGGGAAACCUGCCCAGAAGCGGGGGAUAACACCUGGAAACAGAUGCUAAUACCGCAUAACAACUUGGACCGCAUGGUCCGAGCUUGAAAGAUGGCUUCGGCUAUCACUUUUGGAUGGUCCCGCGGCGUAUUAGCUAGAUGGUGGGGUAACGGCUCACCAUGGCAAUGAUACGUAGCCGACCUGAGAGGGUAAUCGGCCACAUUGGGACUGAGACACGGCCCAAACUCCUACGGGAGGCAGCAGUAGGGAAUCUUCCACAAUGGACGAAAGUCUGAUGGAGCAACGCCGCGUGAGUGAAGAAGGGUUUCGGCUCGUAAAACUCUGUUGUUAAAGAAGAACAUAUCUGAGAGUAACUGUUCAGGUAUUGACGGUAUUUAACCAGAAAGCCACGGCUAACUACGUGCCAGCAGCCGCGGUAAUACGUAGGUGGCAAGCGUUGUCCGGAUUUAUUGGGCGUAAAGCGAGCGCAGGCGGUUUUUUAAGUCUGAUGUGAAAGCCUUCGGCUCAACCGAAGAAGUGCAUCGGAAACUGGGAAACUUGAGUGCAGAAGAGGACAGUGGAACUCCAUGUGUAGCGGUGAAAUGCGUAGAUAUAUGGAAGAACACCAGUGGCGAAGGCGGCUGUCUGGUCUGUAACUGACGCUGAGGCUCCAAAGUAUCCGUAGCAAAC
RNAcentral lists this ribosomal RNA (760 nucleotides) under uncultured Lactiplantibacillus sp. RNAcentral describes it as "bacterial SSU rRNA". It matches the Rfam family "Bacterial small subunit ribosomal RNA", at positions 44 to 773 of the family's 1533-position model. Lineage: Bacteria; Bacillati; Bacillota; Bacilli; Lactobacillales; Lactobacillaceae. The record is from RNAcentral.